GCGAGUGUAGUUUAAUGGUAGAACCUCAGCCUUCCAAGCUGACUACGAGGGUUCGAUUCCCUUCACUCGCUCCA
RNAcentral lists this transfer RNA (74 nucleotides) under Erysipelotrichaceae bacterium. RNAcentral's name for it is "tRNA-Gly". It matches the Rfam family "tRNA". From Rfam's summary of the family: Transfer RNA (tRNA) molecules are approximately 80 nucleotides in length. Lineage: Bacteria; Bacillati; Bacillota; Erysipelotrichia; Erysipelotrichales; Erysipelotrichaceae. The record is from RNAcentral.